UGGUGCAGGGGUCAAAGGAGCAAUCCGGUUAAAGAUGGGCUCGCGUCCGAUUAGCUGGUUGGUGAGACAACAGCCCACCAAGGCGACGAUCGGUAGCCGACCUGAGAGGGUGAUCGGCCACAUUGGAACUGAGAUACGGUCCAGACUCCUACGGGAGGCAGCAGUGGGGAAUAUUGGGCAAUGGGCGAAAGCCUGACCCAGCAACGCCGCGUGAGGGAAGAAGGGUUUCGGCUCGUAAACCUCUGUCCUAUGGGACGAAGGAAGUGACGGUACCAUAGGAGGAAGCCCCGGCUAACUACGUGCCAGCAGCCGCGGUAAUACGUAGGGGGCGAGCGUUGUCCGGAAUGAUUGGGCGUAAAGGGCGCGUAGGCGGCCUGAUAAGUCUGGAGUGAAAGUCCUGCUUUCAAGGUGGGAAUUGCUUUGGAUACUGUCGGGCUGGAGUACAGGAGAGGAAAGCGGAAUUACCAGUGUAGCGGUGAAAUGCGUAGAGAUUGGUAGGAACACCAGUGGCGAAGGCGGCUUUCUGGACUGAAACUGACGCUGAGGCGCGAAAGCGUGGGGAGCAAACAGGAUUAGAUAC
This 580-nucleotide ribosomal RNA is filed under the name uncultured rumen bacterium. Its description in RNAcentral is "bacterial SSU rRNA". It matches the Rfam family "Bacterial small subunit ribosomal RNA", at positions 190 to 785 of the family's 1533-position model. The record is from RNAcentral.